GAUGAACGCUGGCGGCGUGCCUAAUACAUGCAAGUCGAGCGAACAGACGAGGAGCUUGCUCCUCUGACGUUAGCGGCGGACGGGUGAGUAACACGUGGAUACCCUACCUAUAAGACUGGGAUAACUUCGGGAAACCGGAGCUAAUACCGGAUAAUCUAUUGAACCGCAUGGUUCAAUAGUGAAAGACGGUUUUGCUGUCACUUAUAGAUGGAUCCGCGCCGCAUUAGCUAGUUGGUAAGGUAACGGCUUACCAAGGCAACGAUGCGUAGCCGACGUGAGAGGGGGGUCGGCCACACUGGAACUGAGACACGGUCCAGACUCCUACGGGAGGCAGCAGUAGGGAAUCUUCCGCAAUGGGCGAAAGCCUGACGGAGCAGCGCCGCGUGAGUGAUGAAGGUCUUCGGAUCGUAAAACUCUGUUAUUAGGUAAGAACAAAUGUGUAAGGAACUAUGCACGGCUUGACGGUACCUAAUCAGAAAGCCACGGCUAACUACGUG
RNAcentral lists this ribosomal RNA (497 nucleotides) under uncultured bacterium. Its description in RNAcentral is "partial 16S ribosomal RNA". It matches the Rfam family "Bacterial small subunit ribosomal RNA", at positions 28 to 507 of the family's 1533-position model. The record is from RNAcentral.